Molecule: long non-coding RNA, 230 nt
Filed under: Eucalyptus grandis
Lineage: Eukaryota; Viridiplantae; Streptophyta; Magnoliopsida; Myrtales; Myrtaceae
Description: long non-coding RNA (EGRA_LNC002377)
Source: RNAcentral
AAUCACUGGAAGAGAGUGUCUUCUGGACGCUUCCAAAACCUCUAGAGUGAUUUCAACCGGUGCCUUCUGUUCUAGUUCUCUUACAAUACGUACGUGAGUUGAUGGCGGGCCAGGCGAUGGUAAACCGUGAUGAUCACCGGUGGAUGAGGAUGACCGAAGAAAAAGAAACUCCAAAGACGCGUGCUGAGGGGGCGCAAGCUUUUCCCCCUUUGCUCGAUCGUCCUUGCCCG